GACCAACAUAUUCCCAGAACACGCUUAAAGUAACUUAAAUAAUAAAAAAAUACAUAAAUUUAUAUGUAGUGUGAAUAUACAUCAUCACGAUGGCAUUAAACUUAUAUAUACUUAAUACUUAAAGUAAUAUAAUUAAGUUGGUGAAAAUAAACUUAAGCCAAUACUGAAUAUAAGGAGAGCAUUUUAAAACUCAAAACUCAAUUAUAACACAC
RNAcentral lists this long non-coding RNA (212 nucleotides) under Sorghum bicolor (sorghum). RNAcentral describes it as "long non-coding RNA (SBIC_LNC006866)". The record is from RNAcentral. Lineage: Eukaryota; Viridiplantae; Streptophyta; Magnoliopsida; Poales; Poaceae.